This is a non-coding RNA of Cherax quadricarinatus, 728 nucleotides long. NCBI's taxonomy places the organism in Eukaryota, Metazoa, Arthropoda, Malacostraca, Decapoda, Parastacidae. The record is from RefSeq and is a predicted model, not a curated record.
UCUCUCUCUCUCUUAUAUAUAUUGUGUGUGUGUGUGUGUUUAUUAUGUUACAUAUUAAGGUAUAUUGUGUGUGUGUGUUUAUUAUGUUAUGUAUUAAGGUAUACCACGUUUCUUCUCGCCUGACUCUAUAUACAGAGGUACAGUAUACAUUGUGUGUGUGUACUCACCUAGUUGAGGUUGCAGGGGUCGAGUCCUAGCUCCUGUGUGUGCAUACAUACAAUGAGUGUUUUAAUCGCCAUUACCAGUAUUAGUGACCUCGACUGGUUGUGUACAUGUUACUUGCCCCCUUAACAGCCAUCAAGCUUAAUUACCUCCCAUUCCCCUGGUACUGAGUGAACUUGUACAUGUUUAGUGCUUCCCCCUCGACCACCACAACAAUGUCAAUAUCGGAAACCACAAAACACUUAUUAUUGCACGAUAAUUUGUAACCUUCUUACCAACCUCCCAUGAAGUACAGUUUUUUAAGUCGUACUUCAUAUGUUUUGUAGUAGUUUGGAGAGAAAGUUUUUUUGUCAUCUUCCUGUGUUGUGUGAUGAGGGUAUUAUGUUACUGUGAGUGCCCACUCUGGGCAUCACUGGCUGGGCAACCAGAGACUGGGUCGCUACCAGGCUUCAAGUGUCACCUUUGACUGCUUCGUCACAUCUCGUGAAUUGUUUCAAAUGCUUGGUAACACUGGUAGAUAUCUGCAGUGCUUGGUAAGACUGGUAGAUAUCUGCAGUGUUUGGUAA